This 75-nucleotide transfer RNA is filed under the name Clostridia bacterium. Its description in RNAcentral is "tRNA-Glu". It matches the Rfam family "tRNA". Rfam says of the family: Transfer RNA (tRNA) molecules are approximately 80 nucleotides in length. Their secondary structure includes four short double-helical elements and three loops (D, anti-codon, and T loops). Further hydrogen bonds mediate the characteristic L-shaped molecular structure. tRNAs have two regions of fundamental functional importance: the anti-codon, which is responsible for specific mRNA codon recognition, and the 3' end, to which the tRNAs corresponding amino acid is attached (by aminoacyl-tRNA synthetases). tRNAs cope with the degeneracy of the genetic code in two manners: having more than one tRNA (with a specific anti-codon) for a particular amino acid; and 'wobble' base-pairing, i.e. permitting non-standard base-pairing at the 3rd anti-codon position. The record is from RNAcentral. Lineage: Bacteria; Bacillati; Bacillota; Clostridia.
GGCCCCAUGGUCAAGUGGUUAAGACACCGCCCUUUCACGGCGGCCACCCGGGUUCGAAUCCCGGUGGGGUCACCA